RNAcentral lists this ribosomal RNA (581 nucleotides) under uncultured fungus. RNAcentral's name for it is "eukaryotic LSU rRNA". The stretch from base 205 to 357 matches the Rfam family "5.8S ribosomal RNA". Lineage: Eukaryota; Fungi. The record is from RNAcentral.
UCCGUAGGUGAACCUGCGGAAGGAUCAUUACCGAGUGAGGGCCCUCUGGGUCCAACCUCCCACCCGUGUUUAUUUUACCUUGUUGCUUCGGCGAGCCUGCCUUUUGGCUGCCGGGGGACGUCUGUCCCCGGGUCCGCGCUCGCCGAAGACACCUUAGAACUCUGUCUGAAGAUUGUAGUCUGAGAUUAAAUAUAAAUUAUUUAAAACUUUCAACAACGGAUCUCUUGGUUCCGGCAUCGAUGAAGAACGCAGCGAAAUGCGAUACGUAAUGUGAAUUGCAGAAUUCAGUGAAUCAUCGAGUCUUUGAACGCACUUGCGCCCUCUGGUAUUCCGGAGGGCAUGCCUGUCCGAGCGUCAUUGCUGCCCUCAAGCACGGCUUGUGUGUUGGGCUCCGUCCUCCUUCCGGGGGACGGGCCCGAAAGGCAGCGGCGGCACCGCGUCCGGUCCUCAAGCGUAUGGGGCUUUGUCACCCGCUUUGCAGGACUGGCCGGCGCCUGCCGAUCAACCAAACUUUUUUCCAGGUUGACCUCGGAUCAGGUAGGGAUACCCGCUGAACUUAAGCAUAUCAAUAAGCGGAGGAA